Molecule: long non-coding RNA, 2197 nt
Filed under: Salmo trutta (river trout)
Lineage: Eukaryota; Metazoa; Chordata; Actinopteri; Salmoniformes; Salmonidae
Description: lncRNA (ENSSTUG00000042877.1)
Source: RNAcentral
CCUCAAUCUGUUCCUCUGCAGUCUGUGGAGUGCAGUCUGGAAGAGACUGCUGGUGGGGGACCAUCAAUCUGUUACUCUGCAGUCUGUGGAGUGCAGUCUGGAAGAGACUGCUGGUGGGGGACCAUCAAUCUGUUACUCUGCAGUCUGUGGAGUGCAGUCUGGGAGAGACUGCUGGUGGGGGACCAUCAAUCUGUUCCUCUGCAGUCUGUGGAGUGCAGUCUGGAAGAGACUGCUGGUGGGGGACCAUCAAUCUGUUCCUCUGCAGUCUGUGGAGUGCAGUCUGGAAGAGACUGCUGGUGGGGGACCAUCAAUCUGUUACUCUGCAGUCUGUGGAGUGCAGUCUGGAAGAGACUGCUGGUGGGGGACCAUCAAUCUGUUCCUCUGCAGUCUGUGGAGUGCAGUCUGGAAGAGACUGCUGGUGGGGGACCAUCAAUCUGUUACUCUGCAGUCUGUGGAGUGCAGUCUGGAAGAGACUGCUGGUGGGGGACCAUCAAUCUGUUACUCUGCAGUCUGUGGAGUGCAGUCUGGAAGAGACUGCUGGUGGGGGACCAUCAAUCUGUUACUCUGCAGUCUGUGGAGUGCAGUCUGGGAGAGACUGCUGGUGGGGGACCAUCAAUCUGUUACUCUGCAGUCUGUGGAGUGCAGUCUGGAAGAGACUGCUGGUGGGGGACCAUCAAUCUGUUCCUCUGCAGUCUGUGGAGUGCAGUCUGGAAGAGACUGCUGGUGGGGGACCAUCAAUCUGUUACUCUGCAGUCUGUGGAGUGCAGUCUGGAAGAGACUGCUGGUGGGGGACCAUCAAUCUGUUCCUCUGCAGUCUGUGGAGUGCAGUCUGGAAGAGACUGCUGGUGGGGGACCAUCAAUCUGUUCCUCUGCAGUCUGUGGAGUGCAGUCUGGAAGAGACUGCUGGUGGGGGACCAUCAAUCUGUUACUCUGCAGUCUGUGGAGUGCAGUCUGGAAGAGACUGCUGGUGGGGGACCAUCAAUCUGUUCCUCUGCAGUCUGUGGAGUGCAGUCUGGUAGAGACUGCUGGUGGGGGACCAUCAAUCUGUUCCUCUGCAGUCUGGAAGAGACUGCUGGGGGGGGACCAUCAAUCUGUUCCUCUGCAGUCUGUGGAGUGCAGUCUGGGAGAGACUGCUGGUGGGGGACCAUCAAUCUGUUCCUCUGCAGUCUGUGGAGUGCAGUCUGGAAGAGACUGCUGGUGGGGGACCAUCAAUCUGUUCCUCUGCAGUCUGUGGAGUGCAGUCUGGAAGAGACUGCUGGUGGGGGACCAUCAAUCUGUUCCUCUGCAGUCUGUGGAGUGCAGUCUGGAAGAGACUGCUGGUGGGGGACCAUCAAUCUGUUACUCUGCAGUCUGUGGAGUGCAGUCUGGAAGAGACUGCUGGUGGGGGACCAUCAAUCUGUUCCUCUGCAGUCUGUGGAGUGCAGUCUGGAAGAGACUGCUGGUGGGGGACCAUCAAUCUGUUCCUCUGCAGUCUGUGGAGUGCAGUCUGGUAGAGACUGCUGGUGGGGGACCAUCAAUCUGUUACUCUGCAGUCUGUGGAGUGCAGUCUGGUAGAGACUGCUGGUGGGGGACCAUCAAUCUGUUCCUCUGCAGUCUGUGGAGUGCAGUCUGGAAGAGACUGCUGGUGGGGGACCAUCAAUCUGUUCCUCUGCAGUCUGUGGAGUGCAGUCUGGAAGAGACUGCUGGUGGGGGACCAUCAAUCUGUUACUCUGCAGUCUGUGGAGUGCAGUCUGGAAGAGACUGCUGGUGGGGGACCAUCAAUCUGUCCCUCUGCAGUCUGUGGAGUGCAGUCUGGAAGAGACUGCUGGUGGGGGACCAUCAAAAAAAAAAAACUGAGAAAGAACCUAUCGAUUGUUCCUACAACAUAACAACACUGACAUUCCUGCCCCAAUCCCUAAUGGUGUCCAGUGUUGUUCCUACAACAUAACAACACUGACAUUCCUGCCCCAAUCCCUAAUGGUGUCCAGUGUUGUUCCUACAACAUAACAACACUGACAUUCCUGCCCCAAUCCCUAAUGGUGUCCAGUGUUGUUCCUAAAACAUAACAACACUGACAUUCCUGCCCCAAUCCCUAAUGGUGUCCAGUGUUGUUCCUACAACAUAACAACACUUACAGAUGUGACAACAUUUCUAAUCAAUACUGAAAUUCUAUGCUUAGAUUGUUGAUACAAUGGUUUACCUGGAAGAGACUGUGCAA